This 2986-nucleotide unclassified non-coding RNA is filed under the name Hevea brasiliensis (rubber tree). Lineage: Eukaryota; Viridiplantae; Streptophyta; Magnoliopsida; Malpighiales; Euphorbiaceae. The record is from RNAcentral.
UGUAUAUCUAUAUAAAUUUUCUGGGGAGAGAAAGUCUAGAAAGAGAAAGAUAAAUCUAGCUUCAUUUCUGGAGAGAAAAAGCUGUGGUUUUUAGAGAGAGAAAGCUUCUCGUAGCUCUCUCUCUCUCUGUAUAUCUCUCGUUCUGGGUCUCUGAUCUCUCUGCUUUGUUUACGAGAUCUAGUGAUAAUUAGGUGAUAUUUGCGCAUUUCUAAGCGAAAACGGGGCUGUUAAGAUGUCAUCUCUUAGUAGAGAGCUUGUGUUCUUGAUCCUGCAGUUCCUUGAUGAGGAAAAGUUCAAAGAGACUGUUCACAAGCUUGAACAGGAAUCUGGGUUUUUCUUUAACAUGAAGUAUUUUGAGGAUGAGGUGCACAGUGGUAAUUGGGAUGAGGUGGAGAAGUAUCUCUCGGGUUUCACGAAAGUGGAUGAUAAUCGAUACUCCAUGAAAAUCUUUUUUGAGAUUAGGAAACAAAAGUAUCUUGAAGCAUUGGAUAAGCAUGAUCGUUCCAAGGCAGUGGAUAUAUUGGUGAAGGAUUUGAAAGUGUUUGCCACAUUCAAUGAGGAGCUUUUCAAAGAAAUCACUCAGCUAUUGACAUUGGAGAAUUUCAGGGAGAAUGAGCAACUAUCCAAGUAUGGAGACACAAAAUCGGCAAGAGCAAUUAUGUUGGUGGAGCUCAAGAAGCUUAUUGAAGCAAAUCCUCUGUUUCGUGAUAAAUUGCAGUUUCCUAACCUUAAGAAUUCAAGGCUACGGACUCUAAUUAACCAAAGCUUGAAUUGGCAACAUCAACUUUGUAAAAAUCCAAGGCCAAAUCCAGAUAUUAAAACUCUUUUUGUGGAUCAUUCAUGUGGGCAACCAAAUGGCGCUCGGGCUCCAUCACCUGCAAAUAAUCCUCUGCUUGGAUCUUUACCAAAACCUGGAGGGUUUCCUCCCCUUGGUGCGCAUGGGCCAUUCCAGCAUACACCAGCACCUGUUCCAGCACCUCUUGCUGGUUGGAUGUCUAAUCCUUCCACUGUAACUCAUCCAGCUGUUUCUGGAGGAGGAGCCAUUGGCCUUGGUGCUCCAUCAAUCCCAGCUGCUCUGAAGCAUCCAAGGACUCCUCCAACUAAUCCUUCUGUUGAUUAUCCAUCUGGAGAUUCCGAUCAUGUUGCAAAACGAACAAGGCCCAUGGGAAUUUCUGAUGAGGUCAAUUUGCCAGUUAAUGUGUUGCCAGUAUCAUUUCCAGGACACGGUCAUGGUCAGACUUUUAAUGCGCCAGAUGACUUGCCAAAGACUCUUGCUCGGACUUUGAAUCAGGGAUCAUCUCCUAUGAGCAUGGAUUUCCAUCCUGUUCAGCAGACUAUUCUUCUAGGUCUUUUGUUUUCUAGUCUUUCAUUUGGUUGAUAUUGUGUAUUAUUUUGUAUAUUAACAUCCUUUAAGCAUUCUUGGUAUGUGGUCAUUGUGUGUUCUUAAUAUGCUGCUACAGUUGGUACCAAUGUGGGAGAUGUUGGGCUGUGGGAAGUUGGUUCUAGGGAACGACUGGUGUUAAGAAACUUCAAAGUUUGGGAUCUUAGCACAUGUUCAAUGCCUCUGCAGACAGCUCUAGUUAAAGAUCCUGGUGUGUCUGUGAACCGUGUGAUUUGGAGUCCUGAUGGCUCCUUAUUUGGAGUUGCAUACUCAAGGCACAUUGUACAAAUAUAUUCUUACCAGGGUGGUGAUGAUGUAAGGCAGCACUUAGAGAUUGAUGCUCAUGUUGGUGGAGUAAAUGAUCUUGCAUUCUCCACCCCUAAUAAGCAACUUUGUGUAAUAACUUGCGGUGAUGACAGGACCAUCAAGGUAUGGGAUGCUGCUACUGGUACAAAACAGUAUACUUUUGAAGGUCAUGAGGCACCUGUUUAUUCUGUCUGCCCUCACCAUAAGGAAAACAUUCAGUUUAUUUUUUCAACCGCAUUAGAUGGGAAGAUAAAGGCAUGGUUGUAUGACAAUUUGGGAUCUCGUGUUGAUUAUGAGGCUCCUGGUCGCUGGUGCACAACCAUGGCUUACAGUGCUGAUGGUACAAGGCUUUUUUCAUGUGGGACAAGUAAAGAGGGGGAGUCGCAUAUUGUUGAGUGGAAUGAAAGUGAAGGUAAUGUGAAAAGGAGCUAUCUAGGUUUCCGCAAACGUUCUUUGGGUGUUGUUCAAUUUGAUACUACAAAGAACCGAUAUUUGGCUGCUGGUGAUGAUUUCUCUAUCAAGUUUUGGGAUAUGGACAAUAUUCAAAAUUUGACAUCAAUCGAUGCUGAUGGAGGUCUUCCAGCAAGCCCACGUAUCCGCUUCAACAAAGAUGGCACUCUCUUGGCAGUUUCUGCCAAUGAGAAUGGUAUUAAAAUAUUGGCAAAUUCGGAUGGUCUUAGAUUGUUGCGUUCGUUUGAGAAUCUUUCUUAUGAUGCCUCACGAGCAUCUGAAACUGUUACAAAGCCCAUAAUUAACCCAAUCUCAGCAGCAGCAGCAGCGGCGGCGGCAGCUGCAGCUGCAACUAGUUCUGGACUUGCAGAUAGAAGUGCUUCUGUGGUUACUAUUCCAGGAAUGAAUGGAGAUGCUCGGAACUUGGGAGAUGUGAAACCUAGAAUAACUGAAGAAGCCAAUGACAAGUCGAAGAUAUGGAAACUCACUGAAAUUAAUGAACCAUCUCAAUGUCGGUCCUUAAGGCUUCCUGAAAACUUGAGAGUGAACAAGAUAUCAAGGUUAAUUUAUACAAAUUCAGGUAAUGCCAUUUUGGCAUUAGCAUCAAAUGCAAUUCAUCUGCUAUGGAAGUGGCAACGAAGUGAUCGUAAUUCAACUGGCAAGGCAACUGCCAGUGUGUCACCUCAAUUAUGGCAACCCUCAAGUGGCAUUCUGAUGACCAAUGACAUUACUGACACUAACCCUGAAGAGGCUGUGCCAUGUUUUGCUUUGUCCAAAAAUGAUUCUUAUGUUAUGUCAGCAUCUGGAGGAAAGAUUUCCCUUUUUAAUAUGAUGACAUUUAAGACAAUG